GUUGGUGAGGUAAUGGCUCACCAAGACGACGACGGGUAGCCGGCCUGAGAGGGCGACCGGCCACACUGGGACUGAGACACGGCCCAGACUCCUACGGGAGGCAGCAGUGGGGAAUAUUGCACAAUGGGGGAAACCCUGAUGCAGCGACGCAGCGUGCGGGAUGACGGCCUUCGGGUUGUAAACCGCUUUCAGCAGGGAAGAAAAGACCGUUCGAAUAGUGACGGUACCUUGACGGUACCUGACCAGAAAGUACCGGCUAACUACGUGCCAGCAGCCGCGGUAAUACGUAGGGUACGAGCGUUGUCCGGAAUUAUUGGGCGUAAAGAGCUCGUAGGUGGUUGGUCACGUCUGCUGUGGAAACGCAACGCUUAACCGUUGCGCGUGCAGUGGGUACGGGCUGACUAGAGUGCAGUAGGGGAGUCUGGAAUUCCUGGUGUAGCGGUGAAAUGCGCAGAUAUCAGGAGGAACACCGGUGGCGAAGGCGGGACUCUGGGCUGUAACUGACACUGAGGAGCGAAAGCAUGGGGGAGCGAACAGGAUUAGAUACCCUGGUAGUCCAUGCCGUAAACGUUGGGCACUAGGUGUGGGGGGCAUUCCACGUUCUCCGCGCCGUAGCUAACGCAUUAAGUGCCCCGCCUGGGGAGUACGGUCGCAAGGCUAAAACUCAAAGGAAUUUGACGGGGGCCCGCACAAGCGGCGGAGCAUGCGGAUUAAUUGCGAUGCAACGCGAAGAACCUUACCAAGGCUUGACAUACACCAGACCGUCCUGGAAACAGGUCCUCCCCUUCUGGGGUUGAGUGUACAGGUGGUGCAUGGUUGUCGUCAGCUCGUGUCGUGAGAUGUUGGGUUAAGUCCCGCAACGAGCGCAACCCUCGUUCUAUGUUGCCAGCACGUGAUG
RNAcentral lists this ribosomal RNA (898 nucleotides) under Brevibacterium casei. RNAcentral describes it as "bacterial SSU rRNA". It matches the Rfam family "Bacterial small subunit ribosomal RNA", at positions 248 to 1130 of the family's 1533-position model. The record is from RNAcentral. Lineage: Bacteria; Bacillati; Actinomycetota; Actinomycetes; Micrococcales; Brevibacteriaceae.